Long non-coding RNA from Hyla sarda, 1610 nucleotides. RefSeq lists it as uncharacterized. The record is from RefSeq and is a predicted model, not a curated record. Lineage: Eukaryota; Metazoa; Chordata; Amphibia; Anura; Hylidae. The transcript is spliced from 2 exons.
GGUAAGGACCCUCCUGUGUCCUGUAAGCUGUUCGGGAUGCCGCGAUUUCACCGCGGCUGUCCCGAACAGCCCAACUGAGCAGCCGGGAUACUUUCACUUUAGACGUGGCGAUCAAUGCCGAGCGCUAUUAGCCACGGGUCCCGGGCCCGACCCGCCGUGGCCCCGCGUUAUAGAUCGGGAGCGGACAAAUGACGUUCCAGUACGUCAUGUGUCCUUAAGGAGUUAAGGGGUUAAAUCAAUGACUGCAGGGAUGCCUGACGAGUGACAUCCUUUGCUCCAGUAGCGCAAUUUUAAUAAAAAAUUGCCCAAAAUUCCUUAUAUAACAGUCAUACAGAAUAUAUUAGAAAGCUUGUUUGUUUUUCAGCCAAUCAGAGAGCAGCACUACUGAAAUAGAACUCCCAGGAGGUAACAGCGUGUCACACAUGUGAUGUCAUAACCAUUGUCCACCAGAGAGCAGCACUGAGCAGAUAUAACACUGCUCCUGCUCAUUCUUCAUCAGUGAGGGGCUGAUGCUGGACACUGUAGGGGCCGAGAAUGCAAAGUCACAUACACUACUGUGACUGGUAAGUGUCACAUUGUUGUGACCAAAAGGUCUUUAGUGCAGUUCAAUGUGCUUUUCUAUAAUAAACAUGUAGAUAAUCCAUCUUUUGUUUUCCUAUCUUAGAUGCACUAUUUCCAGGAUGUGGAGUAGCAUUUCCGGACCUACAGCAAGACGUUGGAUGAGGACGGAGAUUUCCAGACCUAUUCCAGAAGAAUUUGGAUGAAGGCACAGCCCCUCGAAUCACGCACAUACACAGACACAUUUGCCCAAAUUCUAGAGGUAACCUCCUUUAGUAUGCCCAGAGGAAGGGCAAUACAGUAGCCAUGGAUUCCCUACAGGUUUCCUCCCCUCUGGAGGUUUUUCCUGUCCUGAGUAUUAGUUACUGUACGCUCUUUGUGAGUGAUGGAGGUUACAAAAAAUCCCCUACACAAACAUUUUUAUAUAUAAUAAAUAAAGUUCCCCUUUUUAAACCAUUCUGUAACUUGUUUGACUCAUUUAUUUUAUUUGUGUGUGAAAAAUAGUGUUAGCAAAACGUGGAUGACAUGAGGUUUAUUUAAGUGUCCAAAGCUGCUCUCCUGCACGAUCUGCAUAAUGCGGUGCGGAGAGAGGCAACUGAUGCUGGGGGGUACAGUUACCAAGGCAACCAUAGGACACCCAGCAAUUUCCAUGCAGGAGCCUUUUUCUGAUGAACGGGACCCUAGGAGAGCGGAGGAGGCAGAUGCACUAUUUCCAGGAUGUGGAGUAGCAUUUCCGGACCUACAGCAAGACGUUGGAUGAAGACGUAGAUUUCCAGACCUAUUCCAGAAGAAUUUGGAUGGAGGCACAGCCCCUGGAAUCACGCACAUACACAGACACAUUUGCCCAAAUUCUAGAGGUAACCUCCUUUAGUAUGCCCAGAGGAAGGGCAAUACAGUAGCCAUGGAUUCCCUACAGGUUUCCUCCCCUCUGGAGGUUUUUCCUGUCCUGAGUAUUAGUUACUGUACGCUCUUUGUGAGUGAUGGAGGUUACAAAAAUCCCCGACACAAACAUUUUUAUAUAUAAUAAAUAAAGUUCCCCUUUUUAAACCAUU